Non-coding RNA from Ciona savignyi (Pacific transparent sea squirt), 73 nucleotides. The record is from Rfam. Lineage: Eukaryota; Metazoa; Chordata; Ascidiacea; Phlebobranchia; Cionidae.
GGGGGCGUAGCUCAGAUGGUAGAGCGCGCGCUUAGCAUGCACGAGGUACCGGGAUCGAUACCCGGCACCUCCA